RNAcentral lists this ribosomal RNA (468 nucleotides) under uncultured bacterium. RNAcentral describes it as "partial 16S ribosomal RNA". It matches the Rfam family "Bacterial small subunit ribosomal RNA", at positions 28 to 507 of the family's 1533-position model. The record is from RNAcentral.
GACGAACGCUGGCGGCGUGCUUAACACAUGCAAGUCGAACGGAAAGGCCCUGCUUUUGUGGGGUGCUCGAGUGGCGAACGGGUGAGUAACACGUGAGUAACCUGCCCUUGACUUUGGGAUAACUUCAGGAAACUGGGGCUAAUACCGGAUAGGAGCUCCUGCUGCAUGGUGGGGGUUGGAAAGUUUCGGCGGUUGGGGAUGGACUCGCGGCUUAUCAGCUUGUUGGUGGGGUAGUGGCUUACCAAGGCUUUGACGGGUAGCCGGCCUGGGAGGGUGACCGGCCACAUUGGGACUGAGAUACGGCCCAGUCUCCUACGGGAGGCAGCAGUGGGGAAUAUUGCACAAUGGGCGGAAGCCUGAUGCAGCAACGCCGCGGGCGGGAUGACGGCCUUCGGGUUGUAAACCGCUUUCGCCUGUGACGAAGCGUGAGUGACGGUAAUGGGUAAAGAAGCACCGGCUAACUACGUG